Molecule: ribosomal RNA, 772 nt
Filed under: uncultured Neocallimastigales
Lineage: Eukaryota; Fungi; Neocallimastigomycota; Neocallimastigomycetes; Neocallimastigales
Description: partial large subunit ribosomal RNA
Rfam family: Eukaryotic large subunit ribosomal RNA
Source: RNAcentral
UAUCUCUGUAGAGUCUGCAUAUCAAUAAGCGGAGGAAAAGAAACUAACUAGGAUUCCCUUAGUAACGGCGAGUGAAGCGGGAAGAGCUCAAAUUUGAAAUCUUCAAGGUUUUACCUUGACGAAUUGUAGUUUAAAGAAGUGUUUUCUGUUGGUGUUUUGGUAAAAGUUCUUUGGAAUAGGACAUCAUAGAGGGUGAGAAUCCCGUAUUUGACCAUUAUUUCCAGCUUUGUGAUACACUUUCAAAGAGUCGGAUUGUUUGGGAAUGCAGUCCAAAAUGGGUGGUAAAUUUCAUCUAAAGCUAAAUAUUGGCGAGAGACCGAUAGCGAACAAGUACCGUGAGGGAAAGAUGAAAAGAACUUUGAAAAGAGAGUUAAACAGUACGUGAAAUUGUCAAAAGGGAAGCGUUUGACACCAGUGUUGUUUUUCCGAAAAUCAAUUAAAGGAUGGCUGAUUUUAAGUUUCAUGACCUUAAAAGCUUGUUGCUUAUUUUUCCGGUCUUUCUUAAUGCACUUUUCGGUUAACAAGUCAACAUCAAUUUCUUUUGUUGUAAAAGGUUAAGAGGAAGGUGGCUUUACUUUCGGGUAAAGUGUUUAUAGCCUUUUAACUCUGCAAUCGGAGAGAUUGAGGUCUGCAGCGUAGAUCCUUCGGGGCUAGAUACGUUUGUGCUAAGUUAUAGCUUUUCAUAGACAACUUGCUGACUAUGUUUAGUCUUGUAGCUUACUCGCUGACGCUAUUUUACCUACGCUUAGGAUGUUGAUGUGAUACUGCGAGC